This 253-nucleotide ribosomal RNA is filed under the name uncultured bacterium. RNAcentral describes it as "partial 16S ribosomal RNA". It matches the Rfam family "Bacterial small subunit ribosomal RNA", at positions 524 to 776 of the family's 1533-position model. The record is from RNAcentral.
UACGUAGGGUGCGAGCGUUAAUCGGAAUUACUGGGCGUAAAGCGUGCGCAGGCGGUGAUGUAAGCCAGAUGUGAAAUCCCCGGGCUUAACCUGGGAACUGCAUUUGUGACUGCAAGGCUGGAGUGCGGCAGAGGGGGAUGGAAUUCCGCGUGUAGCAGUGAAAUGCGUAGAUAUGCGGAGGAACACCGAUGGCGAAGGCAAUCCCCUGGGCCUGCACUGACGCUCAUGCACGAAAGCGUGGGGAGCAAACAGG